CAAGCUGGGCUGCAAAGGGGAGAAGCACCAGAAUCUAGCAGGCUGAGCGCCUGAUUAUUAAUUUAAUGAUUUUUAGCCCAGAUUGAAGAUGCAAAUUCUGGCAAUAAGAAAUAACUUGACAUGGAUAUUAUGAGAUUACCAAAACCUCACAGUAGUAGUAAUAACAAUAAUCAUCUGCUAUUUGAAAAGAUGCUGAAAUCCAUGGAAAUUUUAAAAUAUUAUUCUUAGAAAUCUUUCCCCUAAAUGCUUUGUCUUUCCUGAAAGUGACAGAAAAGGAGAUAGAAAGCGUAAAGAGCUCCACGUAUCCACACUUGUACCUCUACGGUUUUACAUGCGCUCUUGGCCGUCGCCCGGUGUUGGAUGCAACUGGAUACUUCACGUCUAAGGAGAUGGAGAAAUAAAUUGCAUUGCUCUCCCUGCAAGUCUGAUCAAGCUCUGAAAGGUGAGGCAAAGAUGACAGCUUAAAACAUGGAAACUACGGAAAAUGCUGUCCUGAGCACACCAAGGGAAAACAAGGCCUUGGGAAGGUUGAAAGACUUUUUGUAGGACUUUAUUAAGG
This 559-nucleotide long non-coding RNA is filed under the name Calidris pygmaea (Spoon-billed sandpiper). Its description in RNAcentral is "lncRNA (ENSCPGG00000017252.1)". Lineage: Eukaryota; Metazoa; Chordata; Aves; Charadriiformes; Scolopacidae. The record is from RNAcentral.